RNAcentral lists this long non-coding RNA (577 nucleotides) under Equus asinus (donkey). RNAcentral's name for it is "lncRNA (ENSEASG00005028580.1)". The record is from RNAcentral. Lineage: Eukaryota; Metazoa; Chordata; Mammalia; Perissodactyla; Equidae.
CGCCCUCAGGCCUCAGGACGGGACAGGGAGGAGGAGAGAGGAAGGGGCCGCCAGCGGCGGGCGGGAUUCUGCGAGGCGCGUGAAGCCUCGCUGGCGCCUCGUCCGCGAUCCAGACGCUGGCGGGCGCGGAGUUUCUCACGACCGGCCGAGCCCGCCUCUGCUGACUACAUUUCAAAAAGCAUCAACUUUUCUCGAUGGACCCAUUCAUCAAAUGAAAUAUGCCUGUUCUAUUUUCAAAGCUUUGUACUUCAUCAUGGAAAAAUUUAUCCCCCCCCAAAAUGAAAAUGAGGACAUUUGAGAACGUGAUUUAAGGUGUAGAUGUUUGAGAAAGUGUCCCGUCAAAUCAGUGAACCAAAGGAUAAAUACUGAAUAGAUUAAUCCUAAACAUUUACCAGGAGGAUUUCAUCUUGUCAGAAAACUUCUAUUCAGUAUGUAUUUUCUGAAAUUAAAAGAGACAAGAAUAGACUUAGAAGAAAAUAGAUGAAGUUGUUUAGUAAAUAAGCAAUGUCAUCUCCUUUCCGAUGAGGCUAAUCAGUGACGUUAAAUUCUUUCCAAAUCCCUAGUUGUGGACCUAAAA